GAUGAACGCUGGCGGCGUGCCUAAUACAUGCAAGUCGAGCGAACGGACGAGAAGCUUGCUUCUCUGAUGUUAGCGGCGGACGGGUGAGUAACACGUGGAUAACCUACCUAUAAGACUGGGAUAACUUCGGGAAACCGUAGCUAAUACCGGAUAAUAUUUUGAACCGCAUGGUUCAAAAGUGAAAGACGGUCUUGCUGUCACUUAUAGAUGGAUCCGCGCUGCAUUAGCUAGUUGGUAAGGUAACGGCUUACCAAGGCAACGAUGCAUAGCCGACCUGAGAGGGUGAUCGGCCACACUGGAACUGAGACACGGUCCAGACUCCUACGGGAGGCAGCAGUAGGGAAUCUUCCGCAAUGGGCGAAAGCCUGACGGAGCAACGCGGCGUGAGUGAUGAAGGUCUUCGGAUCGUAAACUCUGUUAUUAGGGAAGAACAUAUGUGUAAGUAACUGUGCACAUCUUGACGGUACCUAAUCAGAAAGCCACGGCUAACUACGUG
This 496-nucleotide ribosomal RNA is filed under the name uncultured bacterium. RNAcentral describes it as "partial 16S ribosomal RNA". It matches the Rfam family "Bacterial small subunit ribosomal RNA", at positions 28 to 507 of the family's 1533-position model. The record is from RNAcentral.